GUGCAAUCCUCUACCACUGAAUGUGACAGCAGUAUGCUCAUCGUCAGCAUUGUAGUGUCUGUUGUCAUUGUUCUCACAGGAAGUGCCGUAAACUUCCUGUUGUGGAGGAGAAACCAGUCCCAGAACGUAAAAGGGGGAUUAAAAGAAAAUUCUAACAGCCCAAACACCACGGCGCAUGAACCUUCAG
Ostrea edulis (European flat oyster) is the source of this 187-nucleotide long non-coding RNA. RefSeq lists it as uncharacterized. Lineage: Eukaryota; Metazoa; Mollusca; Bivalvia; Ostreida; Ostreidae. The transcript is spliced from 3 exons. The record is from RefSeq and is a predicted model, not a curated record.